RNAcentral lists this ribosomal RNA (254 nucleotides) under uncultured bacterium. RNAcentral describes it as "partial 16S ribosomal RNA". It matches the Rfam family "Bacterial small subunit ribosomal RNA", at positions 524 to 776 of the family's 1533-position model. The record is from RNAcentral.
CACGUAGGGCGCAAGCGUUGUCCGGAAUUAUUGGGCGUAAAGAGCUCGUAGGCGGUUUGUCGCGUCUGCUGUGAAAACUGGGGGCUCAACCCCCAGCCUGCAGUGGGUACGGGGCAGACUAGAGUGCGGUAGGGGAGAUUGGAAUUCCUGGUGUAGCGGUGGAAUGCGCAGAUAUCAGGAGGAACACCGAUGGCGAAGGCAGAUCUCUGGGCCGUAACUGACGCUGAGGAGCGAAAGCAUGGGGAGCGAACAGG